This 431-nucleotide ribosomal RNA is filed under the name uncultured bacterium. RNAcentral describes it as "bacterial SSU rRNA". It matches the Rfam family "Bacterial small subunit ribosomal RNA", at positions 29 to 507 of the family's 1533-position model. The record is from RNAcentral.
AAUGAACGCUGGCGGCAGGCCUAACACAUGCAAGUCGAGCGAACCUUCGGGUUAGUGGCGCACGGGUGCGUAACACGUGGGAAUAUACAUUUCGGUAAGGAAUAACACAGAGAAAUUUGUGCUAAUACCUUAUAAUGACUCCGGUCCAAAGAUUUAUCGCCGAAGGAUUAGCCCGCGCUAGAUUAGUUUGUUGGUGAGGUAAGAGCUCACCAAGACUACGAUCUAUAGCUGGUCUUAGAGGAUGAUCAGCCACACUGGAACUGAGACACGGUCCAGACUCCUACGGGAGGCAGCAGUGAGGAAUAUUGGACAAUGGGGGCAACCCUGAUCCAGCCAUGCCGCGUGAAUGAAGAAGGCCUUAGGGUUGUAAAAUUCUUUCAGAUGCGAAGAUAAUGACGGUACCAUCAGAAGAAGCUCCGGCUAAAUUCGUG